RNAcentral lists this ribosomal RNA (253 nucleotides) under uncultured bacterium. RNAcentral's name for it is "partial 16S ribosomal RNA". It matches the Rfam family "Bacterial small subunit ribosomal RNA", at positions 524 to 776 of the family's 1533-position model. The record is from RNAcentral.
UACGAAGGGGGCUAGCGUUGUUCGGAAUCACUGGGCGUAAAGGGCGCGUAGGCGGCUUUAUAAGUCGGGGGUGAAAGCCUGUGGCUCAACCGCAGAAUUGCCUUCGAUACUGUAGAGCUUGAGUCCGGAAGAGGUUAGUGGAACUGCGAGUGUAGAGGUGAAAUUCGUAGAUAUUCGCAAGAACACCAGUGGCGAAGGCGGCUGACUGGUCCGGUUCUGACGCUGAGGCGCGAAAGCGUGGGGAGCAAACAGG